UUCCGCUCGUCGAUCAUUUUUGUGGAUUAGCAAUUUUGUUCUCGAAUAAUUGCAUAGUCACAAAAGUGAUGGACGUGAAGCGUCGUUUGU
This 90-nucleotide microRNA precursor is filed under the name Brugia malayi. RNAcentral's name for it is "microRNA bma-mir-153 precursor". Its record names the gene bma-mir-153. The stretch from base 7 to 76 matches the Rfam family "mir-153 microRNA precursor family". The record is from miRBase by way of RNAcentral. Lineage: Eukaryota; Metazoa; Nematoda; Chromadorea; Rhabditida; Onchocercidae.